Molecule: ribosomal RNA, 253 nt
Filed under: uncultured bacterium
Lineage: Bacteria
Description: partial 16S ribosomal RNA
Rfam family: Bacterial small subunit ribosomal RNA
Source: RNAcentral
GACAGAGGGGGCAAGCGUUGCUCGGAAUUACUGGGCGUAAAGGGCGCGUAGGCGGGAUGGCAAGUCGGUCGUGAAAUACCUCGGCUCAACUGAGGAGCGUCGAUCGAAACUGCCGUUCUUGAGGGUUGCAGAGGAGACUGGAAUUCCCGGUGUAGCGGUGAAAUGUGUAGAGAUCGGGAGGAACACCGGUGGCGAAGGCGGGUCUCUGGGCAAUUCCUGACGCUGAGGCGCGAAAGCGUGGGGAGCAAACGGG